RNAcentral lists this ribosomal RNA (460 nucleotides) under uncultured bacterium. RNAcentral's name for it is "partial 16S ribosomal RNA". It matches the Rfam family "Bacterial small subunit ribosomal RNA", at positions 338 to 795 of the family's 1533-position model. The record is from RNAcentral.
ACUACGGGUGGCAGCAGUGAGGAAUAUUGGUCAAUGGACGCAAGUCUGAACCAGCCAUGCCGCGUGCAGGAAGACGGCUCUAUGAGUUGUAAACUGCUUUUGUACGAGGGUAAACGCAGAUACGCGUAUCUGUCUGAAAUUAUCGUACGAAUAAGGAUCGGCUAACUCCGUUCCAGCAGCCGAGGUACUACGGAGGAUUCAAGCGUUAUCUGGAUUUAUUGGGUUUAAAGGGUGCCUAGGCGGUCGGUUAAGUUAGGGGUGAAAUCCCGAGGCUCAACUUCGGAAUUGCCUCUGAUACUGUUUGGCGAGAGAGUAGGUGCGGUAGGUGGAAUGUAUGGUGUAGCGGUGAAAUGCUUAGAGAUCAUACAGAACACCGAUUGCGAAGGCAGCUUACCAAGCUACUUCGGACGUUGAGGCACGAAAGCGUGGGGAGCAAACAGGAUUAGAUACCCGGGUAGUC